Molecule: ribosomal RNA, 1565 nt
Filed under: Candidatus Heimdallarchaeota archaeon
Lineage: Archaea; Promethearchaeati; Candidatus Heimdallarchaeota
Description: bacterial SSU rRNA
Rfam family: Archaeal small subunit ribosomal RNA
Source: RNAcentral
UUUGAGAAACUACAGAAGACUAAGAGAAUUUUAGGACAAAAUUUUAGUUGUGUAUAAAAACUUUAUAGACGUAUAUGUUGCGCUAAGAAAAGUUGAUUCAAUAAGUAGUUUUGGAAGAUCGUACACGUAAUCAAUAGGAAGCCGGUUGAUCAUGCCGGACCUAGGUGCUAUCAGAUUCGCAAUAGACAUGCGAGUUUUAUGUCUCUUCGGAGGCAUAGCGAAAGGCUCAGUAACACGUCGCCAAUCUACCCUAAGGACGGGUAUAACCUCGGGAAACUGAGAUUAAUCCCCGAUAGGUAUGGACUCCUGGAAGGGGCCAAUACCCAAAGGGUCUUCGGACCGCCAUAGGAUGAGGCCGCGGCCGAUUAGCUAGUAAGUGAUGUAAAGGAUCACUUAGGCGAUGAUCGGUAGGGGCUAUGAGAGUAGGCGCCCCGAGAAGGACACUGAGACACUGGUCCUAGCACUACGGUGUGCAGCAGUUAGGAAUUGUGCCCAAUGCGCGAAAGCGUGAGACCGCGAAUCUGAGUGCCAGGGAGAACCCUGGCUGUGAUGGAGUGUUAGUAGCUCCAACAGCAAGCAGAGGGCAAGGCUGGUGCCAGCCGCCGCGGUAAAACCAGCUCUGCGAGUGCCUAGGACGAUUAUUGGGCUUAAAGCAUCCGUAGCCGGAUGAGUAGGUCUUUGGUUAAAUCUGCAAGCUUAACUUGUAGGCUGUCAGAGAUACCACUCAUCUAGGGAAUAGGAGAGGUGAACGGUACUGCGGGAGAAGCGGUGAAAUGCGUUGAUUCCCGCAGGACCCACAGUGGCGAAGGCGGUUCACUGGAAUAUCUCCGACGGUGAUGGAUGAAAGCCAGGGGAGCGAAAGGGAUUAGAGACCCCUGUAGUCCUGGCCGUAAACGAUGAGGACUAGGUGUUGGUCAUGGCUAAGUGCCUGGUCAGUGCCAAAGGGAAACUAUUAAGUCCUCCGCCUGGGGAGUACGGUCGCAAGGCUGAAACUUAAAUGAAUUGACGGGAAAGGGCCACAAGGAACGGGAUGUGUGGUUUAAUUCGACUCAACGCGAGGAAACUCACCUGGGGCGACUGUUGUAUGUGUGUCAGGCUGAAGACCUUACACGAAUAAAACAGAGAGGUAGUGCAUGGCCGUCUCAAGCUCGUGCCGUGAGGUGCGCUCUUAAGUGAGUAAACGAGCGAGACCCGCGCCCCUAUUUGCUAAGAGCAAGCUGCGGCUUGGCUGAGGACAAUAGGGGGAUCGCCAUCGAUGAAGAUGGAUGAAAGGGCGGGCCACGGCAGGUCAGUAUGCUCCUAAUCCCCAGGGCCACACACGCAUCACAAUGGGCAGGACAAUGAGAUGCAACUCCGAAAGGAGAAGCGGACCUCUAAACCUGUUCGCAGUAGGGAUUGAGGUCUGGAACCGACCUCAUGAACAUGGAGCUCCUAGUAUCCGCGUGUCAUCAUCGCGCGGAGAAUACGUCCCCGCUUUUUGUACACUCCGCCCGUCGUUGCAACGAAAUCAGGUUUGGUUGAGGUUGGGGCGAAUCGGCUCAAUCAAAACUGGGCCUCGUGACGAU